This 502-nucleotide ribosomal RNA is filed under the name uncultured bacterium. Its description in RNAcentral is "partial 16S ribosomal RNA". It matches the Rfam family "Bacterial small subunit ribosomal RNA", at positions 28 to 507 of the family's 1533-position model. The record is from RNAcentral.
GAUUAACGCUGGCGGCGUGCCUAACACAUGCAAGUCGAGCGGCAGCGAGUUUUACACUGAAUUCUGGAAGCUUCUAGUUGAAAGAGAAGAUUUAUUCAAGAAUUUUGUGUAAAAUGUCGGCGAGCGGCGGACGGCUGAGUAACGCGUGGGAACGUACCCCAAAGUGAGGGGUAACGCAUCGAAAGGUGUGCUAAUACCGCAUAUGGUCUUCGGAUUAAAGCCUUCGGGCGCUUUGGGAACGGCCUGCGUAAGAUUAGAUAGUUGGUGGGGUAAUGGCCUACCAAGUCGACGAUCGUUACCUGGUAUGAGAGGCUGAGCAGUCAGACUGGAACUGAGACACGGUCCAGACUCCUACGGGAGGCAGCAGUGAGGAAUCUUCCACAAUGGGCGAAAGCCUGAUGGAGCAACGCCGCGUGCAGGAUGAAGGCCUUCGGGUUGUAAACUGCUUUUAUAAGUGAGGAUUAUGACAGUAACUUAUGAAUAAGGAUCGGCUAACUACGUG